RNAcentral lists this ribosomal RNA (203 nucleotides) under uncultured cyanobacterium. RNAcentral describes it as "partial 16S ribosomal RNA". It matches the Rfam family "Bacterial small subunit ribosomal RNA", at positions 518 to 720 of the family's 1533-position model. The record is from RNAcentral. Lineage: Bacteria; Bacillati; Cyanobacteriota.
CGGUAAUACGGAGGAUGCAAGCGUUAUCCGGAWUUAUUGGGCGUAAAGCGUCCGCAGGUGGUUUUUCAAGUCUGCUGUUAAAGCGCAGAGCUUAACUCUGUAACGGCRGUGGAAACUGAGAGACUAGAGUAUGGUAGGGGUUGCGGGAAUUCCCAGUGUAGCGGUGAAAUGCGUAGAUAUUGGGAAGAACACCAGCGGCGAAA